RNAcentral lists this ribosomal RNA (478 nucleotides) under uncultured bacterium. Its description in RNAcentral is "partial 16S ribosomal RNA". It matches the Rfam family "Bacterial small subunit ribosomal RNA", at positions 28 to 523 of the family's 1533-position model. The record is from RNAcentral.
GACGAACGCUGGCGGCGUGCUUAACACAUGCAAGUCGAACGGUAAGGCCCUUCGGGGUACACGAGUGGCGAACGGGUGAGUAACACGUGGGUGAUCUGCCCUGCACUUCGGGAUAAGCCUGGGAAACUGGGUCUAAUACCGGAUAGGACUCCUGGCUUCAUGGUUGGGGGUGGAAAGCUUUUGCGGUGUGGGAUGGGCCCGCGGCCUAUCAGCUUGUUGGUGGGGUAAUGGACUACCAAGGGGACGACGGGUAGCCGGCCUGAGAGGGUGACCGGUCACACUGGUACUGGGAUACUGCCCAGACUCCUACUGGAGGCAGCAGUGGGGAAUACUGCACAAUGGGCGCAAGCCUGAUGCAGCGACGCCGCGUGAGGGAUGACGGCCUUCGGGUUGUAAACCUCUUUCAGCUAUGACGAAGCGCAAGUGACGGUAGUAGCAGAAGAAGGACCGGCCAACUACGUGCCAGCAGCCGCAGUAA